GAAGGAUUAGUUAACAAUAUAACAUCAGAAUGUCAAACUGAAGUAAUCACAGAGAUACCCUUCU
Molecule: transfer RNA, 64 nt
Filed under: Euhamitermes hamatus
Lineage: Eukaryota; Metazoa; Arthropoda; Insecta; Blattodea; Termitidae
Description: tRNA-Asp
Source: RNAcentral